RNAcentral lists this ribosomal RNA (496 nucleotides) under uncultured bacterium. RNAcentral describes it as "partial 16S ribosomal RNA". It matches the Rfam family "Bacterial small subunit ribosomal RNA", at positions 29 to 507 of the family's 1533-position model. The record is from RNAcentral.
AUGAACGCUGGCGGCGUGCCUAAUACAUGCAAGUCGAGCGAACGGACGAGAAGCUUGCUUCUCUGAUGUUAGCGGCGGACGGGUGAGUAACACGUGGAUGACCUACCUAUAAGACUGGGAUAACUUCGGGAAACCGGAGCUAAUACCGGAUGAUAUUUUGAACCGCAUGGUUCAAAAGUGAAAGACGGUCUUGCUGUCACUUAUAGAUGGAUCCGCGCUGCAUUAGCUAGUUGGUAAGGUAACGGCUUACCAAGGCAACGAUGCAUAGCCGACCUGAGAGGGUGAUCGGCCACACUGGAACUGAGACACGGUCCAGACUCCUACGGGAGGCAGCAGUAGGGAAUCUUCCGCAAUGGGCGAAAGCCUGACGGAGCAACGCCGCGUGAGUGAUGAAGGUCUUCGGAUCGUAAAACUCUGUUAUUAGGGAAGAACAUAUGUGUAAGUAACUGUGCACAUCUUGACGGUACCUAAUCAGAAAGCCACGGCUAACUACGUG